AUGACGCACACGGACAUAUUGGGUCAUAGAACGGGCCAGCCAUGGGUGAGUGAGGAAUCGUACCACCAUAUGGCCAAAGUGGACGGACGACGGAUGGACCACAAACGGACGACAGACGGACCAAAUCCUAUGAUCGAGUCGAGUGGUGCUUUUUGGAAGCCAUGUUGUGCACCGUGCCUAUCACACCUCCUGUUCGCGGCCGAUUCCAUGCUCUUGAUGAAUGCAAACCAGCAGGAGGCAGCGGCCUUGCAUGAUGUGCUUCAGCUCUACGAGGAUUGUUCCGGCCAAUGCAUAAAUGUCGAGAAAUCUGUUGUCAUGUUCAGUCCCAACACAAGUGGUACAGAUAGGAACUCUGUCAAAAAUAUGCUGGGAAUACAUAGUGAAAAUUGGAAUGAAAAAUACCUGGGCCUACCGGUGCAUGUGGGACGCUCUAGGAGACGAGCCUUCGGCUACAUCAAGUGA
RNAcentral lists this ribosomal RNA (462 nucleotides) under Triticum aestivum (bread wheat). Its description in RNAcentral is "partial small subunit ribosomal RNA". Lineage: Eukaryota; Viridiplantae; Streptophyta; Magnoliopsida; Poales; Poaceae. The record is from RNAcentral.